This 595-nucleotide ribosomal RNA is filed under the name Steinernema diaprepesi. RNAcentral's name for it is "partial 28S ribosomal RNA". It matches the Rfam family "Eukaryotic large subunit ribosomal RNA", at positions 341 to 936 of the family's 3401-position model. Lineage: Eukaryota; Metazoa; Nematoda; Chromadorea; Rhabditida; Steinernematidae. The record is from RNAcentral.
CAAACAAGUACCGUGAGGGAAAGUUGCAAAGUACUUUGAAGAGAGAGUUCAAGAGGACGUGAAACCGAUAGGAUGGAAGCAGAUGAAGUUGACGAACGAGUGUCGUAUUCAGGGUUGCAUCUUGUGUGCGGUCUGUUCUUGCGACCGAUGUGGGCUGGCGGCUUUGGUCAAUGCACUGCGUCAAACGUCUAUGGAGACCCUGCGGAGGGAUCAUCAGUGGGCUUGCGAUGCGUGGUAUGGCUAAGGUUUCGCCGGUCUUGAAGUCAGCGCCUCAUCUGACCCGUCUUGAAACACGGACCAAGGAGUGUAGCGUUUACGCGAGUCUUAGAGUGUAUCAAAACUUUGAGGCGCAACGAAAGUAAAGGUAGCUUUAGCUGCUGACUUGGGAUGCGUUGUCUCUUGUGGACGGCGCUGGACCAUGGUUAUAUCGCGAUCGCUUGCGAUGCGGUGUAAAUAGAGCGUAAACGGUGCGACCCGAAAGAUGGUGAACUAUGCCUGAGCAGGAUGAAGCCGGAGGAAACUCUGGUGGAAGUCCGAAGCGGUUCUGACGUGCAAAUCGAUCGUCUGACUUGGGUAUAGGGGCGAAAGACUAAUC